AACGAACGUUGGCGGCAUGCCUAACACAUGCAAGUCGAACGAGACCUUCGGGUCUAGUGGCGCACGGGUGCGUAACGCGUGGGAACCUGCCCUUAGGUUCGGAAUAACUCCCCGAAAGGGGUGCUAAUACCGGAUAAUGUCUUCGGACCAAAGAUUUAUCGCCUUUGGAUGGGCCCGCGUUGGAUUAGCUAGUUGGUAGGGUAAAAGCCUACCAAGGCGACGAUCCAUAGCUGGUCUGAGAGGAUGAUCAGCCACACUGGGACUGAGACACGGCCCAGACUCCUACGGGAGGCAGCAGUGGGGAAUAUUGGAAAAUGGGCGAAAGCCUGAUCCAGCAAUGCCGCGUGAGUGAUGAAGGCCUUAGGGUUGUAAAGCUCUUUUACACGGGAUGAUAAUGACAGUACCGGGAGAAUAAGCUCCGGCUAACUCCGUG
This 433-nucleotide ribosomal RNA is filed under the name uncultured bacterium. RNAcentral describes it as "partial 16S ribosomal RNA". It matches the Rfam family "Bacterial small subunit ribosomal RNA", at positions 29 to 507 of the family's 1533-position model. The record is from RNAcentral.